UACGAAGGGGGCUAGCGUUGUUCGGAAUUACUGGGCGUAAAGGGCGCGUAGGCGGCGUGUCAAGUCAGGCGUGAAAGCCCCGGGCUCAACCUGGGAACCGCGCUUGAGACUGGCAUGCUCGAGUUCGGGAGAGGAUGGUGGAAUUCCCAGUGUAGAGGUGAAAAUUCGUAGAUAUUGGGAAGAACACCGAUGGCGAAGGCAGCCAUCUGGACCGACACUGACGCUGAGGCGGACGAAAGCGUGGGGAGCAAACAGGG
This 257-nucleotide ribosomal RNA is filed under the name uncultured bacterium. Its description in RNAcentral is "partial 16S ribosomal RNA". It matches the Rfam family "Bacterial small subunit ribosomal RNA", at positions 524 to 777 of the family's 1533-position model. The record is from RNAcentral.